AUUGAACGCUGGCGGCAGGCCUAACACAUGCAAGUCGAGCGGAUGAAGGGAGCUUGCUCCUGGAUUCAGCGGCGGACGGGUGAGUAAUGCCUAGGAAUCUGCCUGGUAGUGGGGGAUAACGCCCGGAAACGGGCGCUAAUACUGCAUACGUCCUGAGGGAGAAAGUGGGGGAUCUUCGGACCUCACGCUAUCAGAUGAGCCUAGGUCGGAUUAGCUAGUUGGUGGGGUAAAGGCCUACCAAGGCGACGAUCCGUAACUGGUCUGAGAGGAUGAUCAGUCACACUGGAACUGAGACACGGUCCAGACUCCUACGGGAGGCAGCAGUGGGGAAUAUUGGACAAUGGGCGAAAGCCUGAUCCAGCCAUGCCGCGUGUGUGAAGAAGGUCUUCGGAUUGUAAAGCACUUUUAGUUGGGAGGAAGGGCAGUAAGUUAAUACCUUGCUGUUUUGACGUUACCAACAGAAUAAGCACCGGCUAACUUCGUG
RNAcentral lists this ribosomal RNA (484 nucleotides) under uncultured bacterium. RNAcentral's name for it is "partial 16S ribosomal RNA". It matches the Rfam family "Bacterial small subunit ribosomal RNA", at positions 30 to 507 of the family's 1533-position model. The record is from RNAcentral.